This 354-nucleotide long non-coding RNA is filed under the name Homo sapiens (human). Its description in RNAcentral is "HSALNT0148974". Lineage: Eukaryota; Metazoa; Chordata; Mammalia; Primates; Hominidae. The record is from RNAcentral.
CCUUGUUGUGACUCUUCUAUGUCAUGUGGACAGAGCAGCAGGCCGAGAGCCAGAAGACAUGGUACUACUCAUGAAGGGGUCCUAACAAGAACAUCUCCAACAGCUAGUCACGCAACAUAAGAGGAAACAACUUCACUUUGCCAACUGAGGAAAUAAUGGUUCAGGAUGCCACUGAUGUUGACAGCUGUUCUUUUAAAAUACUGAUAUUCAACAUGACAAUGCAUGUGACUUGCCAAGGAAUUGAGAAGCUGAAAGUACAGUGACAUGGUUAUGACAGGGCUGCAAAAGACAUGACUUGUAAUGUCAUUUCAAAGCUUUCUCUAAAAAUAAGUUGAAAAACACAAAAUGAAUUUG